This 333-nucleotide ribosomal RNA is filed under the name uncultured bacterium. RNAcentral's name for it is "bacterial SSU rRNA". It matches the Rfam family "Bacterial small subunit ribosomal RNA", at positions 29 to 363 of the family's 1533-position model. The record is from RNAcentral.
AUUGAACGCUGGCGGCGUGCCUAACACAUGCAAGUCGAGCGGCAGGCGCGGGAGCAAUCCUGGCGGCGAGCGGCGGACGGGUGAGUAACGCUUGGGAAUCUGCCUGUUAGUGGGGGACAACCCGGGGAAACUCGGGCUAAUACCGCAUACGCACUACGGUGGAAAGCCGGGGGACCGCAAGGCCUGGCGCUAACAGAUGAGCCCAAGUCGGAUUAGCUAGUUGGUAGGGUAACGCCUACCAGGCGACGAUCCGUAACUGGUCUGAGAGGACGACCAGUCACACCGGAACUGAGACACGGUCCGGACUCCUACGGGAGGCAGCAGUGGGGAAUA